GCGCCGGACGACAUUCGACUGAACGCGUCAGAGGGGACCCGACUACCAAACCUUCACCACGGUCGGUCGGCUCCCGACUCAACAGACGCGCCCGACUGACGACCUUAACUAUCAAAGGCCGAUCCAAAGUCGGGACUUACUCUACCUUCGUGGCGGCACAAGUUGCCGAACGUCCUAACCGACCUAUAUGAGUUAGCAACUUACAUGAGUUAGUGACUUACGAAGACAUUCAACAAUACACAAGAAGAAGAUCGAGCAGAGGAAAA
RNAcentral lists this long non-coding RNA (266 nucleotides) under Elaeis guineensis (African oil palm). RNAcentral describes it as "long non-coding RNA (EGUI_LNC072255)". The record is from RNAcentral. Lineage: Eukaryota; Viridiplantae; Streptophyta; Magnoliopsida; Arecales; Arecaceae.